UUAAGACGCCCAGGUUAGGGUUUGCUGAGCUGGAGAGGAUGCUGUUUUGGUAGCUCUGUCAGGCAGGCGGUGAGUCUGUCUCUUUGCCUGUGCCUGUGAGUCCUGUCCUUCGGGUUACAAGCUAUGGCCAGACAGAACUGUUCACCCGACGUUCCCGCACCCCGUCGCUGAUCAUCAGCUUGACACCUUUUCUAAAGCCCCUUCCCCUCCUGAAGGAACCUCUCCUUGGCAGUUAUUCAAACCUGGGCACGCCACGCAUCCUUGGGCACCUCUGGUCGCUGCUUGCUCCCUUUAAAACAGCGGUCAUGGAAUAAGUUAUGACUCCAAGGGCUUGCAGGACCCAGUGUUCUACACCAUCAUUUCUACCAGGUGGCAGCACUACAUUAGCAGGCACCAGUGUAUUACCUCCCCCCAGCAUGGGAAAGACUUCAGGACAACACUGCUGAAGCAACAGCCUCCUACCUCAGAGAGAGCAGCUUUGCUCACUGCUUGCUAUUGAAUGGCACACACCCAAGCUCAGUGCUCCUUGGUUGCCACGCAAACAUAUCGAGGGCAAUAUGUGAAAAGCAGCAGAGGUGGAAAUGAAAAAAUGGAGAGAGUAUCAUGCCAUGCACAUCUGUCGCCUCCUCCAACCUGUGAGCUGCUGAAAAGCACAGACUUGAGCUUCUGCCUCUUUGUAUUCCAAGCCCUCAGUUUAAGGCCUGGUCUUGAAAGGAACUCAGUGCACACCGAUGCUUCAAUGCUUGGAGGCAGCACUCACUACCCUGAUCCACCUCAUAGAGAAGAACAAGCUCCGGUUGCCAUGGUAUUGAGAGCACUACUAUACCUGCUGCUUUUAGGAUGAACAAAUGAUAUUCAGCUGAUUGCAUGUUGGCAUCUGGCCAGCAGCAUCUGCCGAGUCCAGCAGGACGGAUGCCAGACCAACCCUGAGGCAGCAGAGAUGCUUUUCCAGCUAACAGGCCUGUCUCUGUCCACCAUUUCUCCUAGGCAGGGAAACUGUGGAGUAACAUUAAAAUGAUUUCUUUUUUCCCAACUCUGGAAGUCUUAAAGGACUUUCCUUUUGUUACUAUCUUCUUAACUCAGAUGUCAGUUUUUUCUCCCUCUAUGCAUUGCUUUAUCCAUCUCCUCAUCUGCUGCUUCUAUAAGACAUAGCUAAUAAGCCAAAUCUGGCACACUGUUUUUGUAAAUAAAGUUUUAUUGGAACACCGUCAUGCUGAUUAUGUGACAUAAUACCAUAGAUGAUCAAUUUAAAAGAGGUAAGGUUUAUUUGGCUCACGGUUUUGAGGUUUUGGCCCAUGGUCACAUGGCCUCAUAUCACUGAGCUUGUAGUAAGGCAGAGGAUCAUGCAGGAGCCUGUUUACCUUAUGACAGAUUGGAAGCAAAUAGUGAGGGGUCCCAGUACUGGGAUUUGAACCCAGAGAGGGCUGAACUCCUUUUAUUUUGAGACAGAGUCUUGCUUAGUUGUUCAGCCUGACCUUAACUCUCAGUCCUCCUACCUCAACACCCCC
This is a long non-coding RNA of Fukomys damarensis (Damara mole-rat), 1508 nucleotides long. RefSeq lists it as uncharacterized. Lineage: Eukaryota; Metazoa; Chordata; Mammalia; Rodentia; Bathyergidae. The record is from RefSeq and is a predicted model, not a curated record. The transcript has 4 exons.